GGGCGAGUGGCGGAAUGGCAGACGCUGGGGACUUAAAAUCCCCUGAGGGGUAACCCUCGUGCGGGUUCGAAUCCCGCCUCGCCCA
This 85-nucleotide transfer RNA is filed under the name Planctomycetota bacterium. Its description in RNAcentral is "tRNA-Leu". It matches the Rfam family "tRNA". From Rfam's summary of the family: Transfer RNA (tRNA) molecules are approximately 80 nucleotides in length. Their secondary structure includes four short double-helical elements and three loops (D, anti-codon, and T loops). Further hydrogen bonds mediate the characteristic L-shaped molecular structure. tRNAs have two regions of fundamental functional importance: the anti-codon, which is responsible for specific mRNA codon recognition, and the 3' end, to which the tRNAs corresponding amino acid is attached (by aminoacyl-tRNA synthetases). tRNAs cope with the degeneracy of the genetic code in two manners: having more than one tRNA (with a specific anti-codon) for a particular amino acid; and 'wobble' base-pairing, i.e. permitting non-standard base-pairing at the 3rd anti-codon position. The record is from RNAcentral. Lineage: Bacteria; Pseudomonadati; Planctomycetota.